Molecule: long non-coding RNA, 2133 nt
Filed under: Mus musculus (house mouse)
Lineage: Eukaryota; Metazoa; Chordata; Mammalia; Rodentia; Muridae
Description: predicted gene, 30551
Source: RNAcentral
GGGGAGCAAGCCAGUAUUCAGCUCCCUCCGAGACCUCUGUAUCAUCUCCUGCCCGGUGUGAGCUCCUGUCCUGACUUCCUUUGGUGAGAAACAGCAAUAUGGAAGUGGAGAGUUAAAUAAAGCCUGUGGAUUUUUGAUAUGAAUGUCUGGCAGACCCGUGUGCACUGAAAGGUUUCCAGUGAGGCCUCCUGAUGAAAGCGUCACUCCAACUGUGGAGUGCUCGUUCAUGGCACAUGAAAGGCAGCGGCCCCUCCACGUGUCCCCAGACCCACAAACAGGAACAGUGCCCACGUAAAGGUCCAGAUUCCAGAACACGUCUGAUUUUGGCAGGAAGAGAUAUGCGGUAAUGAGAAUGAAUACGAGGAACCGCUGGCUAAUUACUUCAGACACCAGUCACACCCAGGCAGUUUAACACGGCUGUCCUAACAGAGGCUGGCCUUCUUUGGAUUGUGUUUUAUUGGAAAUAGUGAAUGAUCUGCAGCAACUCAGAUUGUUCCGUUCGUCAAGCAGUCAAAAGAAAAAGAAAGGAAGAGGGGAGGGUGUGGCUGAGCUGUAGCAGCAUCUGCUCCUUCAGCUGCCUGGAUUUUUCUUGCUCUCAGUUCUCUGUAAGGCUACAUGGACCCAUGAUAACUGAUGUCUUCAGUGGACCAUGACUUGGGCUCCUCAGGGCCACCAUUUCCCCUGGCAUCCGGAAGGUCAGAUGACAUUUGAGCAUAUCAUCUCUUCUGCCUGGUCUCUCAGGGGCAGCUAGUGAUUUCUGGCUAGGUUAAGACUGUGACCACACAACGGUGGCAACUGUGGGUGGCCCAACGGCAUUGGGCAGGAGUUUUAUUUUUUUAUUUAUUUUUACUUAGGUGUAUGUGUGUGGGCUUGUGUGUUAUGUGUACAAGUGCUCAUUAAGGUCAGAAGAGAAUGUUGGGUCCCCUGGAGCUGCACUUACAGAUGAUUUUGAGCUGCUUAAUGUGGGUCUUGGGAGCUGGACUCAGGUCUGGCACAGCUGUAGAAAAUGCUCUUGAUCAUGGAGCCAUCUUUCCAGCCCUGGGGAUAUUUGUUUGUUUGUAAAAUAAUUAUAACCCUAUCUAUCUAUCUAUCUAUCUAUCUAUCUAUCUAUCUAUCUAUCUAUCUAUCUAUCUAGUCUUUGUCUGUUUGUGUGUGGUGUGUGUGUUUAGUGUGGUGUGUGUAGUGUGGUGUGGUAUGGUGUGUGUGUAAACCCUUGGAUUAUGAAGUGAAAUGAAGACAACAAUAUGCCUUGGAGGAACAGUGGUUGAAGAAAGGACUACAGGUAGAUAAGGUGACUCCGGGUUUGUUUUUUACUGAAAUAGUACAACAAGCACUCACAGCAUCUCUCCAAAUAGACAGUCUGUCUUAGCCCAUAUAGGCUGCUAUAAUAAAACACAGAGAUUGGGUGGCUUAUAAACAAAAGAAAUGUAUAUCUUACAAGUUAGGAUGGUUGAAAACCCAAGGUCAAAAUACUGGCUGAUUCAGGGUUUGCCCAGGGGCUGCUUCCUGGUUCUUAAAUGGUGACUUAUCAUAGGUGGAAGGUAUAAGCAGGGGUGGGUGAGGGGAGUCUUUUCUCAGAGCACUAGUCCCCUUAGUUAGUGCUUUGCCCUUGCGACUUCCGAAAGUCCCCAGUUUCAUGGUACCAUCAUCUUGGGAGGUUGUGAUUUCAGCAUCAUCUAUAUUGGAGCAGGGCAUAAACAUUGACUCCGGUGUACUAUCCAAUCAAAGAAUACGGGAGUGACUGACUAUAGUUAAAAGCAGAUGGGAUUGGGGCAGGAAGAAAAAUGCAAGAAAGCUUUAGCUUUAUUUUCAAAGUAGAUUGCCAGAAAAGAAACAUUAAGACAUCACACAGCUCCCCAACACAUCUCCUCCCACCAAGAGAACCUAAGUUCUGUAUAAUUUGAGAAAGAUUAUGUAAAAUAAGCCCCUUUAAUACAAUUCCCCAUGUUCCAGGGAAAUUAUUUCAUUUCUAUUCAUAUCUGUAAUUUUGCUGCUGUUCUGAAUUGCAGUGUAAAUAUCUGUGUUUUCCAAUGGUCUUAGGUGACACCACCCCCCCCCCAAAAAGGUCAUGCAACCCCAGGGGUCACAACCACAGGUUGAGAACAUAUGACUUAUAGCUUGUGUUUAAGUUGC